This 378-nucleotide long non-coding RNA is filed under the name Coturnix japonica (Japanese quail). Its description in RNAcentral is "lncRNA (ENSCJPG00005004876.1)". Lineage: Eukaryota; Metazoa; Chordata; Aves; Galliformes; Phasianidae. The record is from RNAcentral.
AUGAAGGAAUAUGUCAGAGGAGUGGAGAUAAAACAGGAUGGCCGAUGUCCCACCUCCUGCGGCCUCUCACAUCAGAGUUGCUUGGAUUUUGGAUACAAGAAGAGUGUGGAAAAGAAUGCUAUCUACCCAGAGUUUCCCAUGGCUGAAAGACAAGGACAGGUCACAAAUUAUUGUGAGAACCAUUCUUCAAGGUUAAGGGAAGAGCAUAAUUACAGAGUGUGUCUCAAAAUAUUAUCACCCAGUUGGAUGACUGUCAACAAGGCCUCGCUCUUCAACCUGAUAAAAAAAGAGAAGAAGAAAAAGAGAGAGAAAGAGAAAGAGAGAGGAAGCGGAAGAGGAAGAGGAAGAGGAAGAGGAAGAGGAAGAGGAAAAGAGGAA